CCGGCGUCCCGGAGGCAUCAUCAUCGUCAUCAUCAUCGUCAUCAUCGUCAUCAUCAUCAUCGUCGUCAUCAUCGUCAUCAUCAUUCUGGAACGUCUGUGUUGCCUCCAGUGAUCCCUCAAGUGUGUGAGUCCUGUUAUUACACAUUACACAAACCACUGUCAGUAAGUAGUAGCACAGCGCCCUCUGCUGUCACGGUGACGCACAUGCACCACCAUCAGGGAGAACCAGGAUUGUAUGAGCAAAAAACAACAACAACAACAACAACAACAACAAUAAUGAAAAUAAUAAUAAUAGAUUUCUAUUUUUCCUGGUGGGCUCCUGGCCUCCCCUCCUGAAGUUUCCCCUCCUGAGGGAUCGAGUGGUGAACUCCUCGGCUGUUCCCUUCCCUGGUGUCAGUCGACCGUUUACAUUAGUUGCCUAGUUAAACGCAGACAGAUUUCCAAAAUAUCCCAGGACCUCAGAAGUCACGCGCCCCUAAAGAAGCACAUUGGAAUUGGUUCUCAAAUAAAUAGCUGCCAAUCAUCCGUGUGCAACACAUUCAUCUGCCCUUUGGUUCCUCCUGGUUGGGAGGAGGCUGAAGCUGCUCUCAAGGUCUUUUACAUCCCACAACUGUGUUUUUAAGAGCAGACAGACGGAGGAUGAAACAUCUCCAACUGAAGAAAGAUGAAAUGACGAGACGACUUCCUGAACAUUGAUCAGGUCUCCAUGAACGACCUGAUGAUGACGACGCACGAACAGUCUUAUCGGCCCUCGACUGCUUCCCUUCGGAUGAAAUCAAGAUUAAGAUACAUAUUUUAGAUCUUUUGCCUCAGCUCAUGUUCACUGAACUGCUUCUACAGUGGCUCCAUGGAAACGUCAGACUGUAUUUGUCCAUAUAUACAGCAAGAGACUAAAAGCCUUUAGUUCUGAAUUUCAUUAUUAAGUUUCAUAACCUGAACAGUGAACUUUGCUUUUACAUGUUUUUGUUUUUUGUUUUAUUUACCCACGUCUAAAAUUAGCAAAGUAAAGAAAAAUUAAAGUCUCAGAUUUUAUUUUGGAAUCAAA
This 1045-nucleotide long non-coding RNA is filed under the name Scophthalmus maximus (turbot). Its description in RNAcentral is "lncRNA (ENSSMAG00000027412.1)". Lineage: Eukaryota; Metazoa; Chordata; Actinopteri; Pleuronectiformes; Scophthalmidae. The record is from RNAcentral.